This is an RNA transcript of Nannospalax galili (Upper Galilee mountains blind mole rat), 1019 nucleotides long. It is a transcript of the gene named olfactory receptor 1361-like, with no coding region annotated. The transcript has a single exon. Lineage: Eukaryota; Metazoa; Chordata; Mammalia; Rodentia; Spalacidae. The record is from RefSeq and is a predicted model, not a curated record.
AUGGCCACUAAAAACAAGACAGAGGUGACUGAAUUUGUGUUGUUGGGCUUGCCCAGCAGACCAGGGAUGCAGCCAGUUAUUUUUGGGAUUGUCCUUGCAAUGUAUUUGAUGGCAGUUUGGGGAAAUGCCUUAUUAGUGAUUGUGGCUUGCUCAGACCCCAAGCUUCAGAUUCCCAUGUAUUUCCUUCUCAGCCAACUUUCCUUAAUUGAUAUAUCUCUAACGACCAUUAUUAUUCCUCAAAUGCUGGUGCACACACUGUCUGUGAAUCGAACCAUUUCCUUCAGCUGGUGCAUGACACAGCUGUUCUCCUUCAUGGCUGUGGGCAGCAUGGAAGUCCACUUGCUGGCCGCCAUGGCAUAUGACCGCUAUGUCGCCAUCUGUGAGCCUUUACGAUACUCUGCCAUUGUCAGCCAUCGCCUCUGUCUGCGCAUAACCUUGACCUCAUGGGUGGUUGUCAGCCUUAACAGUCUCCUGUAUACUCUGUUGGUCACCCAUUUAACCUUCUGUGGUAACCAGGUGACCCACUUCUUCUGUGACAUCACUCCUCUGCUGAAGCUCUCCUGCACCAGACCAGUGGUCAAUGAAAUGCUAAUCUUCACUGAAGGUGUGGCUGUGGUGGUCAGUCCUUUCUUCUUCAUUUUUGGUUCCUACGUCCGCAUAGGCAUUGCCAUAGCUCACACACACUCAGUUGUUGCCCUGCGUAAAGCCAUGUCCACCUGUGGCUCUCACAUCCUGGUCGUGUUGUUCCUGUUUGGCUCUUUGGUUCACAUGUACCUCCGGCCGUCAUCCAGCUACAACUUAGAACAGGAUAGCCAGGUAGCCAUCUUUUACACACUUGUUGGCCCUAUGCUAAAUCCACUAAUCUACAGCCUCAGGAACCAGGAAGUUAAAGGAGCUCUGCGAAAGCUAUUCAGGAAACUCUGUAUCCUAGGAAACAAAGAAUGGCAACACAUCUCCUGAGAACAAAAGAACUAGUCGGAAAUCAUUUCAGACAGGUGGGCUAUACUUUUAAACACUGA